RNAcentral lists this ribosomal RNA (267 nucleotides) under uncultured bacterium. RNAcentral describes it as "partial 16S ribosomal RNA". It matches the Rfam family "Bacterial small subunit ribosomal RNA", at positions 15 to 263 of the family's 1533-position model. The record is from RNAcentral.
GAUCCUGGCUCAGGACGAACGCUGGCGGCGCGCCUAACACAUGCAAGUCGAACGGAGUUUACGGGACUGAUCCUUCGGGUGAUCGAACGCAAACUUAGUGGCGGACGGGUGAGUAACACGUGAGCAACCUGCCCUACAGUGGGGGAUAACGUUUUGAAAAGAACGCUAAUACCGCAUAACGUACCGGAAGGGCAUCCUUCCGGUACCAAAGGAGCAAUCCGCUGUAAGAUGGGCUCGCGUCCGAUUAGCCAGUUGGCGGGGUAACGG